GGAAGCUCGAGCUGGACAUGCAAACGGAAUUACAGACGGAUCUGAUCAUUCAAUCCCUUAUGAGUUCAUAUAGUCAAUUUAUUGUAAAUUUUCAUAUGAACAAACUUAAUUGUACUAUUUCUAAACUAGUCAACAUGUUGGUCACUACGAAGAGUGUCUUGAAGAGUUCAAGGGGCACUAUUUUUGCUGUGGAGCAAACUUUUUCUUCGAAGAGAAAGUCUACUGGAAGGAAGAAGGUUAAAUCCAUGAAGAAGCAGAAGAAAAAGAGCAAGCCGAAGAAGGAUGAUCCAAAAGUGGCUGAAGCAAAGAAAAAAUAUUUCCAUUGUCAUGCUGAAGGCCACUGAAGGAGGAACUGUCCUGUCUACCUGGAGAGCAUAAAGAACAAAAAGAUUGAUAAACUUUCUGAAGGUAUGCUCGUAAUUGAAUCUAACCUUACGAUUUCUUCUUCUUCUAGUUGGGUAUUAGACUAUGAUUCGAGUGCUCAUAUAUGUAUCUCAAUGCAGGAUCUAAUAGAAAGUAGAAGGUUGAGAGAAGGUGACAUGAUCCUUCAGGUCGGCAAUGGAGCAAAAGUUGCUGCAGAGGUCGUAGGUGCUUAUCCUCUUCGGUUACCGUCUGGGUUUAGAUUAGAUUUGAAAGACUAUUAUUAUUUUUCUGUAGCUAGUCGAAAUUUGAUUUCCACAUUUGUGCUAGCAUAGGAAGGUUUUGAAAUUAGUUUGAAUAAAGAUUUUUGUUCUAUUUAUAUAUGAAAUAAAUUGAUUGUACGAGGUCUUUUAAUUGACAGUCUUUAUCACUUACAUGUUGAUGCAAAUAUGAACCUAAAUGAGCAAAUAGUGAGUGCCAUAAACCAAAAAAAAUUCAGAGAUGAAAUUAACUAAAAAUACUUGUGACACCAUAGACUAAGCCAUAUUGGAGAGAACAGGANNNNNNNNNNNNNNNNNNNNAUAAAGAUUUUUUGUUCUAUUUAUAUAUGAAAUAAAUUGAUUGUACGAGGUCUUUUAAUUGACAGUCUUUAUCACUUACAUGUUGAUGCAAAUAUGAACCUAAAUGAGCAAAUAGUGAGUGCCAUAAGCCAAAAAAAAUUCAGAGAUGAAAUUAACUAAAAAUACUUGUGACACCAUAGACUAAGCCAUAUUGGAGAGAAC
Molecule: long non-coding RNA, 1142 nt
Filed under: Elaeis guineensis (African oil palm)
Lineage: Eukaryota; Viridiplantae; Streptophyta; Magnoliopsida; Arecales; Arecaceae
Description: long non-coding RNA (EGUI_LNC043621)
Source: RNAcentral